This is a long non-coding RNA of Drosophila sulfurigaster albostrigata, 910 nucleotides long. RefSeq lists it as uncharacterized. NCBI's taxonomy places the organism in Eukaryota, Metazoa, Arthropoda, Insecta, Diptera, Drosophilidae. The record is from RefSeq and is a predicted model, not a curated record. The transcript is spliced from 3 exons.
UUUUUUGAAGGCUAACUGCGUGAAAAAUUUAUGAAUUGCGGGAAUUGUGAAAAGCGGGAAUUCUAGCUUUUUUAGUAAUUCUGUUGGCUUUUCCCAACUUUUUUUGUGUUGUUAACACAAAAGUACAAAAAGUACAAAAUAUGGAAAAGUGGCAGAUUUACGAUAGUCACUUAUAAACAAUCCAGAAAAUGUGUUGGCGUAUCGAUUGUUUUCUCGAAAUACGCUAAUGUCAUCACUCGCUUAGUGUUUCCAUUUCAAUUUGAUCAAGUGGGCCAACAUCAGCAACACAAACAAAUUUUGGUGGUAACUGUGGCGGAAAUAGCCAGGUUAACCUAAUUAAAUCCAAAUUAAGGAAUGCAUUCUAAGCAUAAGGUAAAAGAAUCGGAUUGUGACGGAUGGGAAAAUGCUGCGUCGACUAUGAAGUGGAGAUUUUUUUGGAUUUUUAAAUAAUUUUGUUGAGUUUUUUCUCCAUUCAUUCCUUCAAACACAGCUGUUUUUGCUGGUCAAAAGUUGGCAGCACUGCCCGCACACCACAAUAUGUUAGGCUUACAAACUAUCAGCAGAGCCAACGCAGUCUUUGUGUGGUCGUCAUUUAACUUCAAACUUCUAAGACACAAAAUUAACGUGCGCCUGCAGAACGGGAGGUGGCGAUUGGCCAUUGUUAAGUGCUUACCUCGCUGAUCACUACAUGGGUACUUACAAAAGUGACCCCAUAGUACACGAACGCCCACCGCUUACAAAAACAAUUGUCCCGAAAGAACCGUUUAUUUUAUUUUGUGUUGCUCUUUUGCCCAAACGAAAUUUUUACAAGCAUUUCAGUUGAGAAGUGCAAAGCGGAGCAAUCGCAAUUUUAUUAGAUUCAAUAAGUGUGGACCAAUUGAGAAAGGCCCUGCAGCUCCCAAAAAAAAAA